UACGGAGGGGGCUAGCGUUGUUCGGAAUUACUGGGCGUAAAGCGCACGUAGGCGGCUUUGCAAGUUAGAGGUGAAAGCCCGGGGCUCAACUCCGGAAUUGCCUUUAAAACUGCAUCGCUAGAAUUGUGGAGAGGUAAGUGGAAUUCCGAGUGUAGAGGUGAAAUUCGUAGAUAUUCGGAAGAACACCGGUGGCGAAGGCGACUUACUGGACACAUAUUGACGCUGAGGUGCGAAAGCUAGGGGAGCAAACGGG
RNAcentral lists this ribosomal RNA (253 nucleotides) under uncultured bacterium. RNAcentral describes it as "partial 16S ribosomal RNA". It matches the Rfam family "Bacterial small subunit ribosomal RNA", at positions 524 to 776 of the family's 1533-position model. The record is from RNAcentral.